This 832-nucleotide long non-coding RNA is filed under the name Malus domestica (apple). Its description in RNAcentral is "long non-coding RNA (MDOM_LNC013855)". Lineage: Eukaryota; Viridiplantae; Streptophyta; Magnoliopsida; Rosales; Rosaceae. The record is from RNAcentral.
AUAUAUAUAUUUCACACUUCUAUUAAUUAAAAACUAUUAAAAUAACCUUACUUAAAUAAUAGCCGUAGAUUUAAUCUCACUUACGUAAGUGAGAUUAAAUCGUUACUGUUAGGUCCAAUACCUCUUUCCUUGGUGAUUGAUGACAAUUUAGGGGUCUUAUUGUAAAAAAAAAAGGUGCAAAGUUUCUCAACCUUGAAACAUAGCUCCUUUCAUUUUGAAUAUUUGAUAUUUUGUAGUAAUGUACUAAUAUUUUUUUUUCAUUAGGCUCUUAUUUUAAGGUAUGUAAUACUUGAAAGAUAAAAAUAUUUUUAUGUUUUAAAGUAAUAUUUAUGUGACAAUGUGGUUUGUAUAUAUUAAUUUAGUAUUAUGUUUUUCAUUUGAUUAUUUAUUGAUUUAAAAUAUAUUUUCUGUAACGGGUAAUGGGUCGGGUCAUAUUACCCGUUAAUAUUAAAAAGUCAAUUUCGGAUUUGGUCAUAUUACCUGUUUAUUUUAACGGGUGUUACUGAUGCGAAAUAUAUAAGCACACAAAUUAAACCCUCUUUUUAUCAAAUGUAGUAAAGUAUGUAAGUAGGGAUCGUUCUAGGCCGGGGAUUAGGAGGGAUUGCUAAACACUUGAAAACUGACUUAAAAACAUAAAAAUAAAAUUUAAAACACUAACUAGACUCAAAGAAUGCAAAACUAUACUUUAAAAUACUUAAACAAACAUAAAACUCAAAACAGCAACCUAAUGACUCAAAACUACCUAAAAACCACUUUCUGGGCAGUUUUGAGAACCUAACAAGAACUUGGACGAAGUUGGAUAAAAACUUGAAUAAAAACACUUAGAAACACA